RNAcentral lists this long non-coding RNA (503 nucleotides) under Nicotiana benthamiana. RNAcentral describes it as "long non-coding RNA (NBEN_LNC040474)". Lineage: Eukaryota; Viridiplantae; Streptophyta; Magnoliopsida; Solanales; Solanaceae. The record is from RNAcentral.
GUUGUUAUUUCAAAAGUAUUGAUGGAAACUUCAUCUAGGUUGAACGGUUUGACAUGACUUUUGACGCCAUGGGUAUCGAUUUAUCGGUUGAUGAGGUACUCUCUGAGGUUCAGUCUAGUGUUGUCAACCCUCUUUUCUUGAAGAAUAGAUCUCUUGAAAAGACAGAGGUUUCAUCUCCACUUUCAGGAACUCAGUCUAUCUGCACGGAUCAAACUACAAGCAAUAUCACUAAGUGAAAACAUGAAAAAAGAGAAAAUCGUGUAGUUAGGGAACAGAAGACGAGGAAGUUGGUACAAAAUCUUCACCUGUAAUUCUGAUGGUGACAGUUGCAGCUGGUUUUUCUUUGCCAUCAAAUGAUGAAGUUAUCCAAAUAUAUAACAAGUUUGGGGAUCUGAAUGAGAAGGAAACAGAAGUGUUACACGAUUCAAACAGAAGUGUUAGACUGUCACUUUCAAUAGCAUCUCCUUGCGCUUUGGGCAUACAUGCCUCAAGUGUUUAUAUUC